Mus pahari (shrew mouse) is the source of this 1717-nucleotide long non-coding RNA. RefSeq lists it as uncharacterized. The transcript has 4 exons. The record is from RefSeq and is a predicted model, not a curated record. Lineage: Eukaryota; Metazoa; Chordata; Mammalia; Rodentia; Muridae.
AAUAAGUUGAGAAUCAUGCGUGGUAACUCAUGUCUGUAAUCAUAGCAUUCUAGAGACUGAGGCAGGAGGAUUGCAAGUUUCAGGCCAGCCUAGUCUACUUAGUCACACCCUUUAAAAAUGAAAUAAAAGGAAACACCACCGCUGCAAGAAGUUGCUAUAACAGCUCUGCAUUGUAAGCAAGCUUAGGCUUCUGAUUUUUAAAAUUCUGUUUCUCCACCUCCUUUACUUUAAGAAUCCUGGAGUGUCUUUGGUUGUUGAAUUGUACGAGGACAGGCAAAUGCUUUCCUGGUCAUUGCCACACCAGCCCCAUGCACCUCGUGGUUAGAUAACACAAUACCCAAUAACCAGAAGCCUGGAGAUCCAGGAAGAAUGAUUUCUGAGCAUCCCAGAGGAAACUUGUUCAUUUGCGCUGCUGGAACAGUAGAAUGUUCUAUAUCUUCCUCAAUGACAAUUUGGAGAACUUAUAAUUCAGGUUUUAGCUGUGGCAGCCACACAUUCACCGUCACUACAAGUUGUGGAACGUUAACAGAUGCUGUAGCAAACCCUCUCUAUCAGAGCAUUUUCUUUGUAGAUCAUGUUAUUUUUUUUCAGCUGCAAACUGAGAUGUAUGUUAUAAUUGAGUUUAGCAUAUAAUUAAGUUUAACCCUGGAAAACCCUUUUUGCUCUUUGUUGCCUGUGAUACACUAGUAAGAAUCCCUAAUCUAGUAGAGGACUACUGUUACCUCACAAACAGUGGAACUCCUGAAGCGUCCUCACAUGAGAACACUGCCUCCUAGGAACUAGGAGAGUUAAUGUAGCAGGAGACAAAUCUAUGGUGUGAACUGGAAUUUUUGAAUGGUGAGAGAUGCCACCUCUAUUGUUACUCAUUGGUUUCUGGACUAAUAAAUUCUAGUUUGGUAAAUGCAAAAACCAAACACUAUCAUAAAUUUAGUAGAAAUAAAGCAACCUUCAAAGAAUUUGCUAGGCUUGAAUGGUGCUUCCCUGAGUAGGACUUAUUGGAACCUACACCAUUUUACUGUGUUGCUUUAUUACACUAAUUGCUUAUUAAUGUACAAUGAGACAAGCCUUCAGUAGGCCCUACUGUCAUAUGCCCAUUGACACACAUCUUUUGUCACGAAUUGAUUCUCCUGAUGAGAGAUAAUAUUGUUCAGGACAUUAUACCUGCAGGUCAUGUGUUCUUGGUGUGAGAAAAAGGAGGUGUGAUAAUGACAAGUUGCUCACUCCACAGUAUAAGAGAUUUGAGGUAAAGUAUCUGGUGUCAUGUAGUUAGCUUGAUCUUCAAAUGCACUGCCACAUCAGGGAAUUACUUUUCAUUGCUUCUUACCACUUCCAUGAUGGGUAAAAGAAGAACUACUGUGAUGUGAGAAAAUCCUGGCUCUUGGUUCUCUGAAUAGCCUGCACCUAUGAUACCAUAGUUACUUCAUUAAAGACCAUUGUUCUCAAAUUUAGCAUCUAAGGAGGAAGCCUAGCUAACAUUCUUAAAUUGAAGCAAUUUCUCAACUGAGUUACUGAGGGCACCUUCUAAGGCAUGUCUCCUUUUUUGCUUGGUGUAACCAGACACUCAACUUUCAUAUGCCUGCUCAUGUAGGCUAGUCACCUAUUUAUUUUCCAUUUCCAUGGUAUAAUUGUGCUAUUUUUAUUCUCUUACUUCAUCAUCUAUGUCUAGGAAUCAAUAACCAUACUACAUAUUGCCUCCAUGGUCAUGCAGUUGAAUGGA